UGUUGUAGGCGGGAUUCGGGCUGAAGGCGUAAGUCGUCCGUUCGAGCCCCGUGGAAAGCGAAGGCGAAAGGCGGUCUGGACGGGAGUUCGAUUCUCCCCACCUCCACCAGAUGCCGAUGGCGGGCAAGCCGGUAACACAACGCCGUCGCCAUCUGCCGGGGGUGACCUGGUUUCGACAGGCUGAAUGAGUACCCGGAGUCACAACACGUCAGGCGCCUGACGUAAAUAGCGCAAACUCCAUAAACGUCAACAACGUUUACGUCGAAGGCAAGGACAUCGGCAGCCGUUUCGCUGGUCCCGUCAACGACGCAUGUGAACGGAUGACGGCCUAAUAGCCGUUGUCA
RNAcentral lists this non-coding RNA (344 nucleotides) under Noviherbaspirillum pedocola. The record is from Rfam by way of RNAcentral. Lineage: Bacteria; Pseudomonadati; Pseudomonadota; Betaproteobacteria; Burkholderiales; Oxalobacteraceae.